This 634-nucleotide ribosomal RNA is filed under the name Maublancomyces gigas. RNAcentral's name for it is "Gyromitra gigas partial large subunit ribosomal RNA". It matches the Rfam family "Eukaryotic large subunit ribosomal RNA", at positions 22 to 667 of the family's 3401-position model. Lineage: Eukaryota; Fungi; Ascomycota; Pezizomycetes; Pezizales; Discinaceae. The record is from RNAcentral.
GUACCCGCUGAACUUAAGCAUAUCAAUAAGCGGAGGAAAAGAAACCAACAGGGAUUGCCUCAGUAACGGCGAGUGAAGCGGCAACAGCUCAAAUUUUAAAGCUGGCGUCCUCGACGCCCGCGUUGUAAUUUGGAGAGGCAUCUUCGGUUUGGGCGCCAGCCUAUGUUCCUUGGAACAGGACGUCACAGAGGGUGAGAAUCCCGUGCUUGGCUGGCUGUCCCUCUCCAUGUGAAGUGUCUUCGACGAGUCGAGUUGUUUGGGAAUGCAGCUCAAAAUGGGUGGUAAAUUUCAUCUAAAGCUAAAUAUUGGCGGGAGACCGAUAGCGCACAAGUAGAGUGAUCGAAAGAUGAAAAGCACUUUGAAAAUAGAGUUAAAAAGUACGUGAAAUUGUUGAAAGGGAAGCGCUUGAGACCAGACUCGGCCGGAGACGAUCAGCGGUCCUUUUGGGCCGUGCACUCGUCCUCGGUUGGGCCAGCAUCGGUUGAGACGGUGGGAUAAAGGUCUGGGGAAUGUGGCUCCUUUCGGGGAGUGUUAUAGCCCCGGGCGCAAUGCCGCCAGCCUCGACCGAGGACCGCGCUCUUUUGCUAGGAUGCUGGCGUAAUGGUCUUCAGCGACCCGUCUUGAAACACGGACC